RNAcentral lists this ribosomal RNA (449 nucleotides) under Libethra rabdota. RNAcentral's name for it is "partial 16S ribosomal RNA". It matches the Rfam family "Bacterial large subunit ribosomal RNA", at positions 1942 to 2604 of the family's 2925-position model. The record is from RNAcentral. Lineage: Eukaryota; Metazoa; Arthropoda; Insecta; Phasmatodea; Diapheromeridae.
UUGACCGUGCAAAGGUAGCAUAAUCAUUAGUCUAUUAAUUGUUGACUUGUAUGAAUGGUUUCACGAAAUAUUAACUGUCUCAUUUUUAUACAUAUAAUUUAAUUUUUGAGUUAAAAAGCUUAAAUUUUAUUGUAGGACGAGAAGACCCUAUAGAUCUUUAUUUAUUUAUUUCUAGGCUUUUUUUGUUUAUUAUUUGUUUAUAAAUAUAUAUAUUUAGUUGGGGUGACUAUUGGAUAUAAUUAACUCUUUAUUUUAUUAUACAUUUAUUUAUGAAUAAUUGACCUAAUAUUAUUGUUUACAAGAUUAAGAUACCUUAGGGAUAACAGCGUAAUUUUCUUUAAGAGUUCAUAUCAACAAGAAAGAUUGCGACCUCGAUGUUGGAUUAAGAUUAAUUUAGGUGUAGAAGUUUAAAUUUUUAGGUCUGUUCGACCUUUAAUAUCUUACAUGAU